This 380-nucleotide ribosomal RNA is filed under the name Alexandrium catenella. RNAcentral's name for it is "partial Bacterial large subunit ribosomal RNA". It matches the Rfam family "Bacterial large subunit ribosomal RNA", at positions 2094 to 2472 of the family's 2925-position model. Lineage: Eukaryota; Dinophyceae; Gonyaulacales; Pyrocystaceae. The record is from RNAcentral.
UGAACCUUUACUACAGCUUGGCACUGAACAUUGAACCUACAUGUGUAGGAUAGGUGGGAGACUUAGAAGCAGAGACGCUAGUUUUUGUGGAGUCGUCCUUGAAAUACCACCCUUGUAGUUUUGAUGUUCUAACGUUGGCCCCUGAAUCGGGGUUACGGACAGUGCCUGGUGGGUAGUUUGACUGGGGCGGUCUCCUCCCAAAGAGUAACGGAGGAGCACGAAGGUUGGCUAAGUACGGUCGGACAUCGUACGGUUAGUGUAAUGGUAGAAGCCAGCUUAACUGCGAGACAGACACGUCGAGCAGGUACGAAAGUAGGUCAUAGUGAUCCGGUGGUUCUGAAUGGAAGGGCCAUCGCUCAACGGAUAAAAGGUACUCCGGG